ACGAACGCUGGCGGCGUGCUUAACACCUGCAAGUCGCACGGAAAGGCCCUGCUUUUGUGGGGUGCUCGAGUGGCGAACGGGUGAGUAACACGUGAGUAACCUGCCCUUGACUUUGGGAUAACUUCAGGAAACUGGGGCUAAUACCGGAUAGGAGCUCCUGCUGCAUGGUGGGGGUUGGAAAGUUUCGGCGGUUGGGGAUGGACUCGCGGCUUAUCAGCUUGUUGGUGGGGUAGUGGCUUACCAAGGCUUUGACGGGUAGCCGGCCUGAGAGGGUGACCGGCCACAUUGGGACUGAGAUACGGCCCAGACUCCUACGGGAGGCAGCAGUGGGGAAUAUUGCACAAUGGGCGGAAGCCUGAUGCAGCAACGCCGCGUGCGGGAUGACGGCCUUCGGGCUGUAAACCGCUUUCGCCUGUGACGAAGCGUGAGUGACGGUAAUGGGUAAAGAAGCACCGGCUAACUACGUG
This 467-nucleotide ribosomal RNA is filed under the name uncultured bacterium. Its description in RNAcentral is "partial 16S ribosomal RNA". It matches the Rfam family "Bacterial small subunit ribosomal RNA", at positions 29 to 507 of the family's 1533-position model. The record is from RNAcentral.